Molecule: long non-coding RNA, 974 nt
Filed under: Olea europaea subsp. europaea
Lineage: Eukaryota; Viridiplantae; Streptophyta; Magnoliopsida; Lamiales; Oleaceae
Source: RNAcentral
UGCCUUGAGAGAUACAAAAAUUAAAUUGCCACUUACACUACGUUUAUUAUUAUAACAUCAAUAAUUGCGAAAUCCAAACUGCAUUAACGACAUUUUGAUCUUUAGAUGAUCUCAGCUACUCAUCUUCCCCGAAUUUGCCACACCCACCCUCGUUGUAGAAAUUAAGGCUCACCAAUUUACAGAAACACAAGUCAAGCUUAUUGCACCGGUUCAUGGACAGCAGGUUUGAACUCAUCAAGAUCCGACACAACUUUACCUUGAAUCAGCCUCUUAUCCUUGGCCUCAUGAGCUUCUUGAACUUGUGUAAUUGGAAAUGUUCUCUCCACUGGGAUCAUUAGCUUUCCAGCCUUGGCUAGACGGUCAAUCUCAUCUAAGCCUUCAGCAUCAGCCCUCACGUAAGUCCAAUAUUCUGUAUCAUGUCAUAAGUAGGCAUUAAUAAGAUAAUGAUGAAGAUAUCACUAAUCUCAAGCGUACUGUAAGAACAUAAGAAAACAUGCAAUUGAUUGCUAGUCCGUAUCUAUUUAUCAAGGAUGUAGCCUCCCCCUGCAGCAAACACGACAAAAACUUUGCGGCUUUCCCUUAUCAAAGUUCAAAAUAUUAACAGGCUCUUUUUCCUUCUCAUGAGAAGAUUCUCAUCCAGCAGUGUUUUAUCUUCUGUUAAAUAACUUCACGGAACAGCUUGGCGUACAGUCUGUAUUUGGUUCGUCUUCAUUGCAGGUGGAAUAUACAUGAAGGAAGUUGAUCGUAUUCUUAGGCCUGGUGGCUGCUGGAUGCUUCAAACUUUAAAGCAUGGCAAUGCCCCAAGGAGGAGCUGAAGGAAGAACGAAGGCAGAUUGAAGAGACUGCUAAGCUUCUCUGUUGGGACAAGAAAUCUGAGAAAGGUGAAAUUGCUAUAUGGCAGAAGAAAAUGGACGCCAAUUUAUGUCAUGCGGUCAUGCCACGCAAGAAAAUUUAGGAGCUACAUUUUUUGAAUC